Canis lupus familiaris (dog) is the source of this 2457-nucleotide long non-coding RNA. RefSeq lists it as uncharacterized. NCBI's taxonomy places the organism in Eukaryota, Metazoa, Chordata, Mammalia, Carnivora, Canidae. The record is from RefSeq and is a predicted model, not a curated record. The transcript has 5 exons.
UUCGAGGAAACUCCACCCGCAGACGGUAUCCAUCGUAAUCAUAGCCGUCGCGACCGUACACCGCGUCUUCCGCGUCUCUGCGUGAUCAGAGAAAGCAAGAGGUGUAAGAGUAAGGCCCGGGAGGGGCAGCUAACUCAGUCGGGAACUAGCGGCCCCCGCACAUGCGCACCCAGCGAGGAAGAGCCCACAUGCGCUGCAUAAUAGGAAUGGCCCCUCCCCCACCCAGAAGCACGCCAGGCUCCCGACCACUACACCAGCCCUCGGCGCCUCAGUUUCCCGCUCCGAGACGGAGAGUCCACUCUGGGGACGUCCGUGGGCCCAGCCACCAGAGAAACCACAUCGACUCGGCUCUUACUCGACUCCUGCAUGGGCGACACAGUCUUACCCCCAACCUAAAAGCCCACCUCCCCAUUCUCGGUAACAAGGCCUUUCCCCAACUACUCCAACUUAUUGCCUCCAGGCGGCGAGGCCCAGGCCGCCUCACCGAGGGUCCUCGAACUCAACGAAGGCGAAGGGCGGUCCUCCGCGGCGAUUCUUGAGAUCGAUGUCGCGGAUAGCUCCGUAUUUGUAGAACACGUCCUCAAUGUCCUUGGUUCGGAUGUCUGGAGGUAAGUUACCCACAUAGAUGCGGCAGUCGUUGUUCCCUGCCGGGCCACGAAUCACACCACCUCCCGACAUGGCGGCGACGAAAAGCGCGGACUCGAGAACAGGCCUUCCCACCAAGCCUAGCGCACGGCAGAGCGAGCCCGCAGCGACACCACGUCUCCCGCGGCCCCUCCAAAAUGGCGCCUUUAUCAGCUCGGCGCACGGAUAUGGGGGGAGGGAGGAAGAGAAGCGGGAGGAAGCUGCUAUUCGGCCUCAGUACGCACGCGCAAGAGCGUAACGGGUGCUGCGAGCGGUACGCUCACGCAUGCGCGACGUCACCCUCCGCGCGAAGGGAGAAAAAAGUUCCUCGCGUUCUGGAUUUGUGGAGUGGCUCGCAAAUGACGUGACCGGCCCUUUGGUAAAAAUUAAACAGAGAUCCCUCGUCCACGGAGCUACUAAUCCCUGACGAAUCUUAAAGGAUAGUCCGUUUUCUCAGGAAUGAGUCUCUUUUAAAACAAGUCCGCGCCUUAAAAGCAUUGGGUGAAACCUAGCCUGGAGCCUUGUCCCACGAUGCUCUGCGGCGUUAACGGCCUUUGGCGGGAAAGACUGCUGGGGGCGGAGCUAAGGGGGGAGGGACCUGGCGGUUGCUCCGGAAACGGGAACAUCCUCGUAGAGGGAGGCUGGUCCCGGAGCUCCGCUGUUGGUGCUUCAGUCCCGAGCUGAGUAGUGAUUUUGUUUUCCUGCCCCCUCUGGUCUCAGGCGGUGGGCUGCUCAGACAAGUGUCUCAUUUAGGGCAACCCAGCUUAGACCCGGUUCCACCGCCGGCUCAGAACUUGACUUUGUAUAGCUCAGCUCAACACGCCUUGACCUAGUGGCGGUGGCCGAGCCCUGACCAGUCAACUAGGACUGAGACCUCAGCUUCUCUUUAAUCGCCCAUCACUGGGCCUAGCGCAGAGGUGAGGUCCAUUGAAAGGUUGAAGAGUGAAUUGUGCCUGUUACGUAUCCAACUCUUUCAAAAAAAAAAAAACAAGAAAAAGCGCGCGUGUGUUGGCAGAAUCCUGGAGUUUGUUCCUCUUUCUGACCUCAUUCCCGAGCCUCUCAGGCUCUGAACUCCUGUGCCCUUGGAUUAUCAACAUUUGUGGUUCAGAUGUUAGUCCACUCUACUUUGGAGGGAAGAAUAAAUGAAACACAACUUUGUCUUGUGACUAACUUGAUAUCGUGGGGAUCUAGCUUAGUAGAAGGAAGGUGCUGGAAAUUUGUUCCAAUAAAAGAAAGAAGUAAACCAAGAAAAAAAGAAGACAUUGGAUGCAGAGAACAAGAAGUUUAUGUGGAGAGAAACAAUGGAAUUUCUAGUAUGAUGUCAGAGGGCAAACCCAGGAAGACAACUCUGCAGCUCUUUUUGAGGACAGCUAGUCUAGAUUAGAGCAGAACACUGAAAAACUGCAAGUGUGGUGUCUUUAGCAGGGGAAAAAAGUAAUGGAUAGAUCAUCUGAAAAAAGUGACCAUGUAAAACUUGUAUUGAAACAUUUCAGUAUUGAGUAUUGCAAGAUUUAAUGGUAAAAAUGACAGUCUUAAGCAUAAAUAAGCCUCUGAAUGUGGUAACCUUUUUCCCCCCACAUACAUGGUAGUACCUGCUACAUAUUGAAGAGGAAGAAACAAACAAAAAGCCCCACAGAAUCCUGUUCUGGUGGCCUCAAAUGAACCCAGGGUCUUCUGUGUCCAGUUGAAGUUUGCAAAGCAGAACCUUUAAAAUACUUGAACCAUUCGAAGCAGGACCUCAAGUCAAGCUGUUGCCAUAAAAACACAAAUGUUGGGACCCAGAAGACACUAAGAAAAAAAAAAAAAAAAAGAAAGUUUUGUUUGCUCUAGAAA